RNAcentral lists this ribosomal RNA (832 nucleotides) under uncultured Cellulophaga sp. Its description in RNAcentral is "bacterial SSU rRNA". It matches the Rfam family "Bacterial small subunit ribosomal RNA", at positions 28 to 862 of the family's 1533-position model. Lineage: Bacteria; Pseudomonadati; Bacteroidota; Flavobacteriia; Flavobacteriales; Flavobacteriaceae. The record is from RNAcentral.
GAUGAACGCUAGCGGCAGGCUUAACACAUGCAAGUCGAGGGGUAACAGGGAGCUUGCUCUGCUGACGACCGGCGCACGGGUGCGUAACGCGUAUACAAUCUGCCUUACACUAAGGGAUAGCCCAGAGAAAUUUGGAUUAAUACCUUAUAGUUUAUUAGAAUGGCAUCAUUUUAAUAAUAAAGAUUACGGUGUAAGAUGAGUAUGCGUCCCAUUAGUUUGUUGGUAAGGUAACGGCUUACCAAGACUACGAUGGGUAGGGGCCCUGAGAGGGGGAUCCCCCACACUGGUACUGAGACACGGACCAGACUCCUACGGGAGGCAGCAGUGAGGAAUAUUGGACAAUGGGCGAGAGCCUGAUCCAGCCAUGCCGCGUGCAGGAAGACGGUCCUAUGGAUUGUAAACUGCUUUUAUACAGGAAGAAUAAGGACUACGUGUAGUCUGGUGACGGUACUGUAAGAAUAAGGACCGGCUAACUCCGUGCCAGCAGCCGCGGUAAUACGGAGGGUCCGAGCGUUAUCCGGAAUUAUUGGGUUUAAAGGGUCCGUAGGCGGGCUAUUAAGUCAGGGGUGAAAGUUUGCAGCUCAACUGUAGAAUUGCCUUUGAUACUGAUAGUCUUGAAUUAUUGUGAAGUGGUUAGAAUAUGUAGUGUAGCGGUGAAAUGCAUAGAUAUUACAUAGAAUACCGAUUGCGAAGGCAGAUCACUAACAAUAUAUUGACGCUGAUGGACGAAAGCGUGGGUAGCGAACAGGAUUAGAUACCCUGGUAGUCCACGCCGUAAACGAUGGAUACUAGCUGUUCGGUUUUCGGACUGAGCGGCCAAGCGAAAGUGAUA